RNAcentral lists this ribosomal RNA (466 nucleotides) under uncultured Thermoleophilia bacterium. RNAcentral describes it as "bacterial SSU rRNA". It matches the Rfam family "Bacterial small subunit ribosomal RNA", at positions 336 to 795 of the family's 1533-position model. Lineage: Bacteria; Bacillati; Actinomycetota; Thermoleophilia. The record is from RNAcentral.
UUCCUACGGGGGGCUGCAGUGGGGAAUCUUGCGCAAUGGGCGAAAGCCUGACGCAGCAACGCCGCGUGAGCGAAGAAGGCCUUCGGGUUGUAAAGCUCUGUCAGGGGGAAAGAAGGCACCUGGGUUAAUAGCCCAAGGGCUGACGGUACCCCCAAAGGAAGCCACGGCUAACUACGUGCCAGCAGCCGCGGUAAUACGUAGGUGGCAAGCGUUGUCCGGAAUCAUUGGGCGUAAAGAGCGCGUAGGUGGCUUGUCAGGUCUGAUUUGAAAUUUCGGGGCUCAACUCCGAACCUGCAUCGGAAACCGGCUUGCUAGAGUCUGGGAGAGGAGAGUGGAAUUCCUGGUGUAGCGGUGAAAUGCGUAGAUAUCAGGAGGAACACCGGUAGCGAAGGCGGCUCUCUGGAACAGUACUGACGCUGAGGCGCGAAAGCUAGGGGAGCGAACAGGAUUAGAUACCCCAGUAGUC